UACGUAGGGUGCGAGCGUUGUCCGGAAUUAUUGGGCGUAAAGGGCUCGUAGGCGGUUUGUCGCGUCGGGAGUGAAAACUCAGGGCUUAACCCUGAGCCUGCUUCCGAUACGGGCAGACUAGAGGUAUGCAGGGGAGAACGGAAUUCCUGGUGUAGCGGUGAAAUGCGCAGAUAUCAGGAAGAACACCCGUGGCGAAGGCGGCCCACUGGGCCGGUGCUGACGCUGAGGCGCGAAGGCGUGGGGAGCGAACGGG
RNAcentral lists this ribosomal RNA (253 nucleotides) under uncultured bacterium. Its description in RNAcentral is "partial 16S ribosomal RNA". It matches the Rfam family "Bacterial small subunit ribosomal RNA", at positions 524 to 776 of the family's 1533-position model. The record is from RNAcentral.